UCCUGGCUCAGAUUGAACGCUGGCGGCAUGCCUUACACAUGCAAGUCGAACGGCAGCACGGGGGCAACCCUGGUGGCGAGUGGCGAACGGGUGAGUAAUACAUCGGAACGUGUCCUGUAGUGGGGGAUAGCCCGGCGAAAGCCGGAUUAAUACCGCAUACGCUCUACGGAGGAAAGGGGGGGAUCUUAGGACCUCUCGCUACAGGGGCGGCCGAUGGCAGAUUAGCUAGUUGGUGGGGUAAAGGCCUACCAAGGCGACGAUCUGUAGCUGGUCUGAGAGGACGACCAGCCACACUGGGACUGAGACACGGCCCAGACUCCUACGGGAGGCAGCAGUGGGGAAUUUUGGACAAUGGGCGCAAGCCUGAUCCAGCAAUGCCGCGUGUGUGAAGAAGGCCUUCGGGUUGUAAAGCACUUUUGUCCGGAAAGAAAACGCUCUGGUUAAUACCCGGGGCGGAUGACGGUACCGGAAGAAUAAGCA
Molecule: ribosomal RNA, 480 nt
Filed under: Burkholderia sp. S6.CEL.013
Lineage: Bacteria; Pseudomonadati; Pseudomonadota; Betaproteobacteria; Burkholderiales; Burkholderiaceae
Description: bacterial SSU rRNA
Rfam family: Bacterial small subunit ribosomal RNA
Source: RNAcentral